Molecule: long non-coding RNA, 1914 nt
Organism: Papaver somniferum (opium poppy)
Lineage: Eukaryota; Viridiplantae; Streptophyta; Magnoliopsida; Ranunculales; Papaveraceae
Exons: 2
Source: RefSeq, a predicted model, not a curated record
UUUACUACUGUGUGUAUGAUUAACUCGUCAGUGCAUCAUCAUAUUCCAAUAUGCCUCUCUCUGUGUAUUUGUAUAUGUUCUGAUUCAACUCCAUUGAUUUACAGAAGGAAAGGGAAGACUAUUGAAAGAAAAUCAGCGCGCAUCUUCAAAUGGAGGUCACAAACACCUCAAAAGAAAGCAUUGAGACUAUUGACGAUCAGAAGGGGAAGUAGCAGGGCUGGAAUAAAGCUGUUGAGGGAUUGCAAGGUACCGGUGGACUUCAUCUCUGACAAACAGUUGUAGGAGCUAGCAAGGCUAUAUCACUAGCAAUAUAAAUGUUUUUAUGCUUUUUGAGUGCCCAUGUUCUUGACACGCAAGUGAAGUUCAGCCAUAUUACUUGGUAAUAUUUGGAAGAAAGAAACUUCUCUUAAAAACAUUGCUGGUACAUUAGUCUGUCACAUGAUAAGACUUUAGACAUACAAAAGUCUAAAAGACUACUAGACCAAAGAAAUUUGAAUCCUGUCUUUUAAGGAAGACAGUCAGCUCAGGUUUCCAUCUCUUCUCUUCUGUUCUCAUUCCCUAUAUACAUGUAACUUGAGUGCUCUCAUCUCUACGAAACUAGCUUGCUGGUCCAGUUGUCUCCAUUUUCUUUUGCAAAGCACCACACCAUGUUCUUUCAUUUUCAUGGAUUCUGAAAACCAAGAAGAAGUCGUUUACGAGUUCCUUCCACUCCUUCGAAUAUACAAAAACGGCAGUGUAGAACGUCUCCUUGCAUCAGAAAAUCGGAUGGGAAGAAGAUAGAGUCGGUUUUCAUCUACAUUUCCCUGAAACCAAGAAUGCCCAGCUUGUUAUCGAACGCUUGGUUUCAUUUCUCCGAUGUUGAGCAAAAAAAUAUUAGUAUACAUUCAUGUCUCAUCUUUGUGCAUCCAAAUUGCAUCUUUGAUAAGUUUUGCAGAAGGUUGUCAGAUUUUGUGUGGUCACAUUGUAACUAAAACAAUUAGCAAAGCAGCUCUAUAUUCAGCUCCAUUUUCAAAUCCUAAACAUCUAAUCAGCGAUUACAUCUUUAAUGGUUUCUCCACUCUUGGCAGCUCAUUUCCGUUUAAUCUAAACAAAAACUCCACUCACAACCAAAUUUACUUAAAAUCUUGUCGUCGUUGCUAUCUUCAUUUAUCUCGCAGCCAAAAAAAGAAAAAUUAUAUAAAACCGAGAGAAAAAAAAGAACAAGAAGAAAAAAAGGAAGAAGAAUGAGUUCUGGAGUAAUAUCUGACUGAAUAGGGGCAGCUUCUGUCCACAGCUAAAACCGACUGAAUAGGGGCAGCUUCUGUCUACAGCUAAAACCAACCACUCUCAACAACAAGUAGAAACCCAUUAUCCAAAACCAAAUCUAUUGCUUGAAAACCAUGGUUCCAAGACAAAUUAUCAACUAUUGGGUAUUCCAGAAGGUGUAAGUUUUGUUGAAAUUAAACAAGCUUAUAAACAAUUGGCAAGAAAGUAUCAUCCAGAUGUAUCACCACCAGAUCGUUGGGGAUUGGAUGACAGAAGUGACUGGAAAAACCGUUGGCAAUCUCAGUUAACAGGACUAAAGAGGAAAAGCAUGAACCAGGCUUCAGGAGAAAAAAUGUCAUGGGCUGCUCGAAUGCGCAAGCUAAGAAAUCAACCAUCCGGAGAAUGAUAAGUACUUAAUUUUGCUCAUGUGUUUGUGUAUAUUUUUCCGCUUUAGUUGGAUUAGAAGAAAUUGAAUUUAGAUUACAAAAACAGAUCUCUUUUUCAUUCUUCCCAACCCAUAUGUAAUUAGAUUAGAAUCAAAAAAAUUGUACAUAAUUAGAGUAAAUGUCGAGCCAAGUUUUCAUUUCCUGAAUCUGAUCUGAACUGAGUGUCUUCUAUUGCUCUUGAACGCAUUGAUGUUGAAAUAAAGCUGAUAGAUAUGAUCUGUAA